AGAACGAACGCUGGCGGCAUGCCUAAUACAUGCAAGUCGAACGAACACUUCGGUGUUAGUGGCGCACGGGUGCGUAACGCGUGGGAAUCUGCCCUUGGGUUCGGAAUAACAGUUGGAAACGACUGCUAAUACCGGAUGAUAUCGAAAGAUCAAAGAUUUAUCGCCCAGGGAUGAGCCCGCGUAGGAUUAGCUAGUUGGUGAGGUAAAGGCUCACCAAGGCGACGAUCCUUAGCUGGUCUGAGAGGAUGAUCAGCCACACUGGGACUGAGACACGGCCCAGACUCCUACGGGAGGCAGCAGUAGGGAAUAUGGACAAUGGGCGCAAGCCUGAUCCAGCAAUGCCGCGUGAGUGAUGAAGGCCUUAGGGUGUAAAGCUCUUUACCGAGAUGAUAAUGACAGUAUCGGAGAAUAAGCCCCGGAUAACUCCGUAGCCAGCUAGCCGC
This 443-nucleotide ribosomal RNA is filed under the name uncultured soil bacterium. Its description in RNAcentral is "bacterial SSU rRNA". It matches the Rfam family "Bacterial small subunit ribosomal RNA", at positions 26 to 518 of the family's 1533-position model. The record is from RNAcentral.